RNAcentral lists this ribosomal RNA (231 nucleotides) under uncultured bacterium. Its description in RNAcentral is "partial 16S ribosomal RNA". It matches the Rfam family "Bacterial small subunit ribosomal RNA", at positions 523 to 755 of the family's 1533-position model. The record is from RNAcentral.
AUACUAGGGGGCUAGCGUUAUCCGGAAUUACUGGGCGUAAAGGGUGCGUAGGUGGUUUCUUAAGUCAGAGGUGAAAGGCUACGGCUCAACCGUAGUAAGCCUUUGAAACUGGGAAACUUGAGUGCAGGAGAGGAGAGUGGAAUUCCUAGUGUAGCGGUGAAAUGCGUAGAUAUAUGGAGGAACACCAGUGGCGAAGGCGGUUGCCUGGCCUGUAACUGACGCUGAAGCACG